GUCAUCAUGUGACCUCAUGUGUCCUCGUGUGACCACCCGUGUCCUCGUUUGACCUCCCGUGUGAUCCUGUCACCUCCUGUGUCAUCGUGUGACCUCAUGUGUCCUCGUGUGACCUCCCGUGUCCUCGUGUGACCUCCCGUGUGAUCCUGUGACCUCCCGUGUCCUCAUGUGACCUCUUGUGUCCUAGUGUGACCUCCCGUGUGAUCCUGUGACCUCUUGUGUCCUCAUGUGACCUUGUGUGUCAUCGUGUGACCUCCCGUGUCCUCGUGUGACCUCCCGUGUGAUCCUGUGACCUCCCGUGUCCUCAUGUGACCUCCCGUGUCCUCGUUUGACCUCCCGUGUGAUCCUGUCACCUCUUGUGUCAUCGUGUGACCUUGUGUGUCCUCGUGUGACCUCAUGUCCUCGUGUGUCCUUCGUGUCCCCGUGUGCUACCGUGUCCUCAUGUGUGUCCCUGCAUCCCUGUGUCCUCAUGUCUUCACGUGUGAUCCCGUGUCCUCCUGUCCCCCAUCUGUGUUCUCGUGUGUCCCAAUGUGUCCCCACGCGUGUC
Molecule: long non-coding RNA, 547 nt
Filed under: Phasianus colchicus (ring-necked pheasant)
Lineage: Eukaryota; Metazoa; Chordata; Aves; Galliformes; Phasianidae
Description: lncRNA (ENSPCLG00000020218.1)
Source: RNAcentral